Molecule: long non-coding RNA, 685 nt
Organism: Canis lupus familiaris (dog)
Lineage: Eukaryota; Metazoa; Chordata; Mammalia; Carnivora; Canidae
Exons: 4
Source: RefSeq, a predicted model, not a curated record
GCAGAUUUUGCUUCUUCUCUCAUCCCCUCUGCCAACUCUGCAGACCUUCCAAACUUGGCUCCAAGUGGCUGUCUCCCUGGAGGAUCACUGUAACACAGCCACUGUUCCUGUAGCCAUGUGGAGUCCCCAGAGCGUUUUCAUCAAGUUACCAACUGUAGGAUAUCUGAAGCAGGAGUAUGUGUGAGAACAGAAAUUUUUCUCAGAGACCAAAGGUACAUGGCCUAAAUGAAUCAUGACAAAACGCUGCCUGGUGUCUUCCCAGGUGUCACAUAUAUGUGAGAAAAGGGACAAAGAAGAGAUGGAGGCAAGUAGAAUAAUGACUGUACUUCUGGGAAGGCCUGCAGUGCUUUUGGAAGAAUUGAUCAUGUUCUCCAGUGAGAGCCUUGUUCUGGGUGCUGUAAUUGUGCCAGAGAUGGAAUGUGAAACUACUUUUAUUGCAGAGACAUGGAGGACUAAUACUAACAAGCACAAGGAAACCAUUGAGAAAGACCAAAGAUGCCCUCAGAAGUUCACAAUCAAUAUAAAGUUUUGAUACAACAUGGAGUAUGAGAGUGAAAGCAAGAGAGCACAAGGAAGGAGAGCAACAGAGGGAGAAGCAGGCUCCCUGCUCAGUGGGGCUUGAGCCUAGAACCCAGGGAUCAAGAUCUGAACCAAAGGCAGAUGCUUAACGCAUUGAGCUACCCAG